UAGUGGCAGACGGGUGAGUAACAUGUGGGUAUCUACCCUUUGGCCUGGAAUAACACGAGGAAACUUGUGCUAAUACCGGAUAAGUCUUUACGGAGAAAGCUUUAUGCACCAUUGGAUGAGCCCGCACUUGAUUAGUUUGUUGGUAGGGUAAUGGCCUACCAAGACUAUGAUCAAUAGCUGAUUUGAGAGGAUGAUCAGCCACAUUGGGACUGAGACACGGCCCAAACUCCUACGGGAGGCAGCAGUGGGGAAUCUUGCACAAUGGAGGAAACUCUGAUGCAGCGAUGCCGCGUGAGUGAAGAAGGCCUUUGGGUUGUAAAGCUCUUUCGUCGGGGAAGAAAAUGACUGUACCCGAAUAAGAAGGUCCGGCUAACUUCGUGCCAGCAGCCGCGGUAAUACGAAGGGACCUAGCGUAGUUCGGAAUUACUGGGCUUAAAGAGUUCGUAGGUGGUUGAAAAAGUUGGUGGUGAAAUCCCAGAGCUUAACUCUGGAACUGCCAUCAAAACUUUUCAGCUAGAGUAUGAUAGAGGAAAGCA
Molecule: ribosomal RNA, 536 nt
Filed under: uncultured Pelagibacterales bacterium
Lineage: Bacteria; Pseudomonadati; Pseudomonadota; Alphaproteobacteria; Candidatus Pelagibacterales
Description: bacterial SSU rRNA
Rfam family: Bacterial small subunit ribosomal RNA
Source: RNAcentral